CAAUAUUGCCUUUUAAAGCUUCGUGUAUAAACCUGUCUUUCCCAGGAGGAAGUUUCCAGCUUCAUAUCCUCCAAGGCUGAGGCCAGGUGUGAGGCUCUGUCUCCUACCAGCAGGUGAAAUAGAAGCUGUGUGCAUUACAACAACCAAGUUGCAUUCUGGGAAACGGAAGGCAUCAUGUGGUGAAUUGGCACUCACAGUUUCAGGCCUCAAUAACUUCAGGUGCAGCUCCACGGAGGUACGUGCCAUUUUUGCCGGAAAUCCUACUGUGAAAGGGGCAAAUCUGACAUUUAUCUACACAAGGCUUCAUUCUGAAUUGGGACCUCUAAGAGUUUACCCCAGGAGUGUGGAAAUAGGUAUAGGUCAGUAGUCUCUUCUACAUGUUUAUUCUUCUCCGAUUCUAGGGUGAAUUCUAGAGUUGCUUUUCCAAGAGGGUUGGUUGUACUGAAGAGAGGUUAUAGCUGUCCUCUUUUUACAUUAUCCUUGAUAAGCACAUCUGGAAAACCUUUAAAAAGAGAAGUCGUUAGCCUGAGAAAACAAGGAGACAAAGAGGGGUUA
Molecule: long non-coding RNA, 555 nt
Filed under: Fukomys damarensis (Damara mole-rat)
Lineage: Eukaryota; Metazoa; Chordata; Mammalia; Rodentia; Bathyergidae
Description: lncRNA (ENSFDAG00000026183.1)
Source: RNAcentral